GUCCUCGUAGCUCAUCAGGAUAGAGCGAUCGCCUCCUAAGCGAUAGGUAGCAAGUUCGAGUCUUGUCGGGGACG
Molecule: non-coding RNA, 74 nt
Organism: Pilibacter termitis
Lineage: Bacteria; Bacillati; Bacillota; Bacilli; Lactobacillales; Enterococcaceae
Source: Rfam